RNAcentral lists this ribosomal RNA (623 nucleotides) under uncultured Bacilli bacterium. Its description in RNAcentral is "bacterial SSU rRNA". It matches the Rfam family "Bacterial small subunit ribosomal RNA", at positions 28 to 635 of the family's 1533-position model. The record is from RNAcentral. Lineage: Bacteria; Bacillati; Bacillota; Bacilli.
GACGAACGCUGGCGGCGUGCCUAAUACAUGCAAGUAGAACGCUGAAGAGAGGAGCUUGCUUCUCUGGAUGAGUUGCGAACGGGUGAGUAACGCGUAGGUAACCUGCCUGGUAGCGGGGGAUAACUAUUGGAAACGAUAGCUAAUACCGCAUAACAGUAGAUGUUGCAUGACAUUUGCUUAAAAGGUGCAAUUGCAUCACUACCAGAUGGACCUGCGUUGUAUUAGCUAGUUGGUGGGGUAACGGCUCACCAAGGCGACGAUACAUAGCCGACCUGAGAGGGUGAUCGGCCACACUGGGACUGAGACACGGCCCAGACUCCUACGGGAGGCAGCAGUAGGGAAUCUUCGGCAAUGGACGGAAGUCUGACCGAGCAACGCCGCGUGAGUGAAGAAGGUUUUCGGAUCGUAAAGCUCUGUUGUAAGAGAAGAACGAGUGUGAGAGUGGAAAGUUCACACUGUGACGGUAUCUUACCAGAAAGGGACGGCUAACUACGUGCCAGCAGCCGCGGUAAUACGUAGGUCCCGAGCGUUGUCCGGAUUUAUUGGGCGUAAAGCGAGCGCAGGCGGUUAGAUAAGUCUGAAGUUAAAGGCUGUGGCUUAACCAUAGUACGCUUUGGAAACUG